AUGACUCCGCCUCAUGUUUCACCGCAAGGACUCGUCGAGGACCGUAAAGCGCCACCAAGACCAAUAGGAACAGAGAGAGCAUGGAAGAUGGCUGGAUGUGACUCUCAACCUGAAUGGACAUUGGAUCAAAAGAUAGCGUGGAACCCGAUUGUCGAGAGGCAGCAGCAGUCUUAUAGAUCAGCGUCACAGUAUUCAAGAAUUUCUGUCACUGAGGAAAUUCAACCGAUUGUUGAUAACUCUAUUCCAGGAGUUGUGGGUGAUGCUGGUCAUUUCAAUGGCACGUCAGCUUUGCCUCUCUCUGUGAUGCACUCAAUGCCUCCUCUAACUCAUUUUGCAAGUCUGGAUGCAUCAAAUUUAGUCUGUCCCACUGAUCCAGUGAUUAAAACAGUAGAACCCUCAUGGGACCCAAGAUUGAUAUGUCUGCCGGAGAUUCCUGACAAGCAACAAGUACGAUAUGAAUAUGCUUAGUCCUUGACCAGUUGCAAAACUUAUUUACAUUCUCGAAGCAAGUUGUGAGUCUAAUAAUUCUAACGAAUCAUUCGGAGAUGCAGUAGAAACCAAUCAUAGACAAUUGUUGAAGCCUGCUAAUUUCGAUGUUUUGUAUUUCAUCUUGUUAAGCUUUUAUAUUAGUCUUUUGCUCUGGGAUCUGCAUGUCUGGAAGACUUGAUUACAUUUUUCUUCUUAAUUCGAACUUAGCUUCAUAUAUGAUUAAAACUAUACCUUAUUAUCAUGAGUCUGACUAGUUUGAUGUUAGACGCCCUUUUUAUCUUUUUGUCAAUCAUUUAUAAUCAUGAACUAUCGAUGGUUCUCACAAAUUUAUCACUAUCUUGUAGUUAGGAUGGCUUAACCAGGGUUUUAGCGGGUUCUUAGAAGAUACCAGGUCUUGUGUAUAAGAAUUGUUGUAUUUUAGACGUCCGCUUGUCGCAGAUUUAUAAACGUCAGUUAUGUAUUGAAACAUUACUUACACAUGAAAACAUCAUAAAUCUUCAUGUACUAUUCAUUACUGUAAUAUUAUCAAUUUAUUUUUUAUUUCUAAUUUUCUUUUCUUUUUCUUCCCUUUCACCUUGUUUUGUAAAUUGAGAUAAAUCGCAAGUUAUGUAAUAAAUAAAAAAAUAUGUUCUAUUAUUUCCUCAUUUAUUAUUUUCACUUGCUUGAUGCAUUGCCCCCAAGAUAAAUGCCCUCCAAUCAUGACACUUUUUUUUUCAUUUAUUUUUUUAGUUAAAUAGCAACAGUGAGUCUUUGCACCAGGGCUCAUCUGAGAAGAUCCUUGGAAAAUCAGCAGAUAAACCUUUAUAUGUACAUGUGUAGAAAUUAGGUGAUUAGGGAAAUUUGAAGAUAUGAAACAAACUUAUUUCUUCUAUUCGGAUUCAUACCUGGCUGGCUUCCAGUCAAUCCAUAAGAUAGAUACAUACAAAAAUCAAUUAUCAUAUAAAAUAAAAUCAACCAUUUUCUAAGUACAUUACAACAUAUUUAUUUGACAAAAAAUGGUGUAAAAAAGAGCUACAAGUUUACAAUUGAAUUUCCUCCUGUACAAAAACUGAUUACAUUUAUUCCUCCUCUACUCUGUAAACAUUAAAUUUGAUCCGUAAAAUAAUGAAUAGCAAAAAUACACUUUAAAUAUGUUUUGAGAAUGCAUGUAUUUACACAUAAAAUAAAGCUGGGGAAAGAAAAGAAGGAAAAAUUAAUUUUUUGUCCAAGAAGUAACAGCACAUCCUAAGACACAGAAUAAAUUUAACAGAUGUGAAAGUACACCUCAUUGAAAAUACGUUUAUCAGGGAAUGUUGAGUUUUCUAGGAAUGUCAAAAAUAAAAAAGGAGGUACUCUAGGAAUGAGGUGGCAGAGGGACUUCAAAAAAAUAAAUAAUAAAUUAAUGGAAAUAAAAUAAGAAAAGACCGUGUGAUCAAUUACCUUAAAUGUUUAGUUUAGAAUUGAUGAACUGUUUGAGAAACUAAAGGUUGGAUACAAACAGAAAAGUAGAUCUAUUUUCGCGAACCAAUCCUCAAAACAAAGAUUUUCUUUGAGAGACAGUUACUAUGGGAUGGGACUAAGUGCAACAGAAAGGAGCAAAGCCAUUUUAAUUUGGCACAGGAGCAUUAGAACUAGAACAAAAUAACAACAUUUAAGGGCAAUCAUCUACUUCUAUAGUUAUCCAGUCACUUGCCCCUUCAGAAGAUCAGAGGGUUGUUUCCCUCUUAAACUGAAAGAACAUUUUUUUUCUUCGGUCA
RNAcentral lists this long non-coding RNA (2225 nucleotides) under Bemisia tabaci. RNAcentral describes it as "lncRNA ENSSSA3NGG003498". Lineage: Eukaryota; Metazoa; Arthropoda; Insecta; Hemiptera; Aleyrodidae. The record is from RNAcentral.